Molecule: ribosomal RNA, 2778 nt
Filed under: Triticum aestivum (bread wheat)
Lineage: Eukaryota; Viridiplantae; Streptophyta; Magnoliopsida; Poales; Poaceae
Description: partial small subunit ribosomal RNA
Source: RNAcentral
AUGCUUGUUUUGCUCAUACUUGCCAUGCUAGGGAUGGCUGAAGCACGAGCAUCGGCAGUUGUGAGAAGCUUUGAUGGGAGCACCACCCAGCCUCUGAACCGCCUGAUCCGUCGGUUGGACGCCGGCAUGGGUUCUUCAAAUUUGACUCUCAGCUGUGCCAAUAGAUGCGGUCACUUGACCUUCAGCUACCCAUUCGGCAUAGGAGCUGGUUGCUUUAGGAAUCCUGAAUUCAGUCUCAUUUGCAACCACACCACCAAUCCCCCUAAACUCUUCUUGCACGAUGGUAGUAGUACAAGUACAACCCAGGUUGUGGGCGAUAUUUACCCCAGUGGCAUGUCAGUCAACUUCUGGGGCAAGCACUUGCAGUUCAGCUCUUUUUUUGUCAACUUCUCCAAAACCAUCCCCAUGAAAUCUGGUCUCGAUGCCUACAACAUGUCAUGGACUCCAGGGAAAACUUUUAGCCUUCUCAGUACAAUGUCCCUUUCUGUCAUUGCUUGCGACUUGGAUGUGUACUUGGUGCAUAAAGACCUUGGUAACCGUGAGUUGAUUUGCAAGGUAUCCUGCCCCAGCAUAGAAAUUGCGGAGCAAGUUUAUAGGCAGGACCGACAUGGCCCUGGGUCGUGUUCUUUUACAUAUUCUGCAUUAACAGUCCGCACCCUCGAGUUUCAAUUUGUUCCCCACAAGACAAGUAAGAUAAAAACACAAUCUAGACUCAACAUCUUGUGGGAUACAAUCGACAUAACUAUUAAUAUCUUAAUCAUAUGGAGUAUCCUCGACCAAACGAGCUGCUCCAGGAGCAUGGAGGAUAGCAACUAUGCAUGUGUCAGCCACCACAGCGAAUGCACGGUUCCUCUUGCCGAUAAAGGUUAUAUCUGCCGGUGCAUCAGUGGUUAUGAAGGCAAUCCAUAUAUCUCCGGUGGCUGCUCAGCUGUCCAUGAGUAUAAUUCAAGACCACUUAAGGUGAAUUGUUCUCGACGGUGUGGAAAUAUAAGUGUCCCAUUUCCUUUUGGCAUAGAAGAAGGUUGUUCUGCGAGGAAAACUUUUAAGCUCAACUGCUCAGAUACUACACCGCCCGUUCUCUGGCAUAAUAAUGGCUUCGUUGAAGUGACAUACAUAAAUGUCAAUGAGGGGCUCCUGGGAAUCAAAUAUGAGUUGAGUGUUGGAGACGAGUCAUUUAACAUUAUGCUACAAUCUUCAGAAGCUGAUGAACCGAACCUGUAUGUCAAUCCUCUGGAAUCAGCCUCUGUGCAGUGGGCUGUCGCUAAUCUUACAUGCCAAGAGGCGGAAAAAAACACCUCUGGAUAUGCGUGCGUUAGUGUCCAUAGCUUCUGCCUGGGUGUCAUCAGCUCCAUGGAAGGUUAUGUUGGAUACAGGUGUGCAUGCUUGCGCGGUUUUGAAGGAAAUCCAUACAUCCCAGAUGGUUGUGAAGAUAUUGAUGAGUGCAAACGGACACCAGGACUUUGCAAAGGGAAUUGCCGGAACACUAUCGGAAACUACACCUGCACCAAGUGCCCUGAUCAUACAGAGUAUGAUAUAACAAAAAUGCAGUGCACUCCAGUAAGAAAGCAAAAUUUCUACUUAGGUAUUGUGAUUGGGUUAAGCAGUGGCCUUGGCAUGCUACUUUUCGGCUUAACUACGAUAUUUCUCGUUCAAAGAUGGAAAAGAGACGUCCAGAAGAAACUAAGAAGGAAGUAUUUCCGAAGGAACAAUGGCCUUCUCUUGGAACAAUUGAUAUCAGGGGAUGAAAAUGCGAGCGAGAGGAAAAAUAUUUUCUCCUUUGAAGAGCUUAAAAGGGCAACAAAUAACUUUGAUCCUGCACGUAUCCUUGGACGUGGAGGGCAUGGCACAGUCUACAAAGGGAUCUUAUCAAACCAGCAUGUGAUUGAGAUCAGCGAUUUUAUCAAUGAGGUUGCAAUUCUCUCUCAGAUAAAUCACCGGAAUAUCGUGAAACUUUUCGGGUGCUGUCUUGAAACUGAGGUCCCCUUACUAGUGUACGACUUCAUUCCCAAUGGUUCAUUGUUUGAAAGUCUUCAUCAUGAUUCUAGCAACAUGGUUUCUUUGACCUGGAAUGACUGCCUACGGAUCGCAUCAGAAGCUGCGGGUGCUCUAUGUUAUCUCCACUCUGCAGCCUCAAUAUCAAUCUUCCAUCGUGAUGUGAAGUCCUCUAAUAUACUCCUAGACACAAACAAUGCAGCAAAGGUUUCGGAUUUCGGUGCUUCAAGAAUUGUCCCCAUUGAUCAAACUCAUGUUGCUACAAAUGUUCAGGGCACAUUCGGUUAUUUUGAUCCAGAAUACUACCAGACUGGGCAGCUAAAUGAGAAGAGUGAUGUUUACAGUUUUGGUGUGGUACUCCUAGAACUUCUUAUCAGGAAAAAACCUGUUUUUACAGCUGAGUCGGGAAUGGACGAGAGCUUGUGUAACUACUUCCUCUUGGAGAUCAGGUCGAGGCAACCCAAAGAAAUAGUGGCGGCACAAGUUCUUGAAGAAGCGAGCGAGGAGGAGAUCAACGGGGUUGCUUCUCUUGCGGAAAAGUGCUUGAGGCUAAAAGGUGAGGAAAGGCCUACAAUGAAGGAAGUCGAGACAACAUUGCAGCAACUACGAAUGAAUCGUACAAAUUCAUCUCAAGUUUAUCCAGCCGUUGAGUAUGAGAUGCAAGGCCACCAGUCCAUGGCCAUGAACCUAGCCGGGAGAACUUACAAUGUAACAUCUCAGCGCAGCCAAAACGCAUGCUAUAGCUUGGAGCAGGAGUUCCUCGCAUCCGCUAGCCUGCCCCGCUAG